GGAUGAACGCUAGCUACAGGCUAACACAUGCAAGUCGAGGGCAGCAUGAAGUUGCUUGCAAACUUGAUGGCGACCGGCGCACGGGUGAGUAACGCGUAUCCAACCUUCCCUAUAGUAGAGGAUAGCCCGGCGAAAGUCGGAUUAAUACUCUAUGUUUUCCAAUGCAGACAUCUAAAAUGGAACAAAGGUUUACCGCUAUAGGAUGGGGAUGCGUCUGAUUAGGUAGUCGGCGGGGUAACGGCCCACCGAGCCAUCGAUCAGUAGGGGUUCUGAGAGGAAGGUCCCCCACAUUGGAACUGAGACACGGUCCAAACUCCUACGGGAGGCAGCAGUGAGGAAUAUUGGUCAAUGGACGAGAGUCUGAACCAGCCAAAAGUAGCGUGCAGGAUGACGGCCCUAUGGGUUGUAAACUGCUUUUAUACAGGGAUAAAGUGGGGAACGUGUUCCCUUUUGUAGGUACUGUAUGAAUAAGGACCGGCUAAUUCCGUGCCAGCCGCCGC
RNAcentral lists this ribosomal RNA (500 nucleotides) under uncultured bacterium. RNAcentral describes it as "bacterial SSU rRNA". It matches the Rfam family "Bacterial small subunit ribosomal RNA", at positions 27 to 518 of the family's 1533-position model. The record is from RNAcentral.